RNAcentral lists this ribosomal RNA (393 nucleotides) under uncultured Glomeromycotina. RNAcentral's name for it is "bacterial SSU rRNA". It matches the Rfam family "Eukaryotic small subunit ribosomal RNA", at positions 591 to 998 of the family's 1831-position model. The record is from RNAcentral. Lineage: Eukaryota; Fungi; Glomeromycota.
CCAAUAGCGUAAAUUAAAGUUGUUGCAGUUAAAAGCUCGUAGUUGAAUUUCGGGGUUUGUCCAUUGGUCGGGCUUUACCGUCCGUACUGGUGCGAUGGAUUCCUACCUUCUGAAUAACCUGCAUGCCAUUUAUUUUGUGUGCUGGGGAAGCAGAGCUGUUACCUUGAAAAAUUAGAGUGCUUAAAGCAGGAAAGUGCCUGAAUACAUUAGCAUGGGAUAAUGAAAUAGGACGGCAUGGUUCUAUUUUGUUGGUUUCUAGGAUCACCGUAAUGAUUAAUAGGGAUAGUUGGGGGCAUUAGUAUUCAAUUGUCAGAGGUGAAAUUCUUGGAUUUAUUGAAGACUAACUCCUGCGAAAGCAUUUGCCAUCAUUAAUCAAGACGAAAGUUAGGGGAU